Molecule: non-coding RNA, 408 nt
Filed under: Riccardia amazonica
Lineage: Eukaryota; Viridiplantae; Streptophyta; Jungermanniopsida; Metzgeriales; Aneuraceae
Source: RNAcentral
CUUUACCAGGUUUAACUAGUAGAAUACCCAAGUCGAGAUCGAGUUCCAUUGACCGAUCAGCGACUAAUAAAAAAAUUUCUCAAUACCGUCUUCGACUGGAAGAGAAACAGAAAUUACGUUUUCAUUAUGGAUUAACAGAAAGACAGUUACUCAAAUAUGUUUGUGUCGCCAAAAAAGCCAAGGGGUCGACCGGUCAAUUAUUGUUGCAAUUGCUUGAAAUGCGGUUGGAUAAUACAAUGUUUCGUUUGGGUAUGGUUCCCACAAUUCCAGCAGCAAGACAGUUGGUUAACCAUMGACAUGUGUWAAUAAAUGCAAAUAUGGUKCAUAUACCGAGCUAUAACUGCAAAACCGGMGAUAUAAUUACAAUAAGGGMUCGCGAACGAAACCGAUUAGCAAACGGGGAAAGUG